This 395-nucleotide ribosomal RNA is filed under the name uncultured bacterium. Its description in RNAcentral is "bacterial SSU rRNA". It matches the Rfam family "Bacterial small subunit ribosomal RNA", at positions 505 to 898 of the family's 1533-position model. The record is from RNAcentral.
GUGUCAGCAGCCGCGGUAAUACGUAGGGCGCAAGCGUUGUCCGGAAUUAUUGGGCGUAAAGAGCUCGUAGGCGGUUUGUCGCGUCUGUCGUGAAAGCCCACGGCUUAACUGUGGGUCUGCGGUGGAUACGGGCAGACUAGAGGCAGGUAGGGGAGAAUGGAAUUCCCGGUGUAGCGGUGAAAUGCGCAGAUAUCGGGAGGAACACCGGUGGCGAAGGCGGUUCUCUGGGCCUGUACUGACGCUGAGGAGCGAAAGCGUGGGGAGCGAACAGGAUUAGAUACCCUGGUAGUCCACGCCGUAAACGUUGGGCGCUAGGUGUGGGGUUCUUCCACGGAUUCCGCGCCGUAGCUAACGCAUUAAGCGCCCCGCCUGGGGAGUACGGCCGCAAGGCUAAA